GGCGCCAUAGCUCAGUAGGUAGAGCAGAGGACUGAAAAUCCUUGUGUCACUGGUUCGAUUCCGGUUGGCGCCA
RNAcentral lists this transfer RNA (73 nucleotides) under Bacteroidales bacterium. RNAcentral's name for it is "tRNA-Phe". It matches the Rfam family "tRNA". From Rfam's summary of the family: Transfer RNA (tRNA) molecules are approximately 80 nucleotides in length. The record is from RNAcentral. Lineage: Bacteria; Pseudomonadati; Bacteroidota; Bacteroidia; Bacteroidales. RNAcentral also lists the same sequence under 1 other name.